Molecule: transfer RNA, 67 nt
Filed under: Marmota monax (woodchuck)
Lineage: Eukaryota; Metazoa; Chordata; Mammalia; Rodentia; Sciuridae
Description: tRNA.Ala
Rfam family: tRNA
About the family: Transfer RNA (tRNA) molecules are approximately 80 nucleotides in length.
Source: RNAcentral
GGUUAUGGCUCAGCGGUAGAGCGUUCGCCUUGCAAGUGUAAGGCCCUGGGUUCAAUCCUCAGCACCA